UUGUGGGGUGCUCGAGUGGCGAACGGGUGAGUAACACGUGAGUAACCUGCCCUUGACUUUGGGAUAACUCCAGGAAACUGGGGCUAAUACCGGAUAGGAGCUCCUGCUGCAUGGUGGGGGUUGGAAAGUUUCGGCGGUUGGGGAUGGACUCGCGGCUUAUCAGCUUGUUGGUGGGGUAGUGGCCUACCAAGGCGGCGACGGGUAGCCGGCCUGAGAGGGUGACCGGCCACAUUGGAACUGAGAAACGGUCCAA
This 253-nucleotide ribosomal RNA is filed under the name uncultured Actinomycetales bacterium. RNAcentral describes it as "partial 16S ribosomal RNA". It matches the Rfam family "Bacterial small subunit ribosomal RNA", at positions 80 to 334 of the family's 1533-position model. The record is from RNAcentral. Lineage: Bacteria; Bacillati; Actinomycetota; Actinomycetes; Actinomycetales.